RNAcentral lists this ribosomal RNA (207 nucleotides) under uncultured bacterium. Its description in RNAcentral is "partial 16S ribosomal RNA". It matches the Rfam family "Bacterial small subunit ribosomal RNA", at positions 568 to 774 of the family's 1533-position model. The record is from RNAcentral.
CGCGUAGGCGGGCCUUCAAGUCGGUUGUGAAAACUCCGAGCUUAACUCGGAGCCUGCAUCCGAUACUGUUGGUCUUGAGUACAGGAGAGGAAAGUGGAAUUCCAGGUGUAGCGGUGAAAUGCGUAGAUAUCUGGAAGAACACCAGUAGCGAAGGCGGCUUUCUGGACUGAUACUGACGCUAAAGCGCGAAGGCUUGGGGAGCAAACA